Hyaena hyaena (striped hyena) is the source of this 106-nucleotide small nuclear RNA. NCBI's taxonomy places the organism in Eukaryota, Metazoa, Chordata, Mammalia, Carnivora, Hyaenidae. The record is from RefSeq and is a predicted model, not a curated record.
GUGCUUGCUUACGCAGCACAUAUAUUAAAAUUGGAACAAUAUAGAGAAGAUCAGCAUGGCCCUGCGCAAGGAUGACAUGCAAAUUUGUGAAGCAUUCCAUAUUUUU